GCCAGCAGCUAGCUCUCUGCAACUCUCACGUGGUCACCCACUGCAGUUAAGCAGGACUGCGCCUGGUCAGUACCUGGAUGGGAGACCACAUGGGAAAGCUAGGUUGCUGCAGGAA
This is a non-coding RNA of Danio rerio (zebrafish), 115 nucleotides long. The record is from Rfam. Lineage: Eukaryota; Metazoa; Chordata; Actinopteri; Cypriniformes; Danionidae.